GGAAUAUUGGGCAAUGGACGAGAGUCUGACCCAGCCAUGCCGCGUGCCGGAUGAAGGCCUUCUGGGUUGUAAACGGCUUUUCUCAGGGAAGAAAAAGGGUAUGCGUACCAAACUGACGGUACCUGAGGAAUAAGCACCGGCUAACUCCGUGCCAGCAGCCGCGGUAAUACGGAGGGUGCAAGCGUUGUCCGGAUUUAUUGGGUUUAAAGGGUGCGUAGGCGGCUUGUUAAGUCCGGGGUGAAAGCCCACAGCUCAACUGUGGAACUGCCCUGGAUACUGGCAAGCUUGAGUCCAGACGAGGUUGGCGGAAUGGAAGGUGUAGCGGUGAAAUGCAUAGAUACCUUCCAGAACCCCGAUUGCGUAGGCAGCUGACUAGGCUGGUACUGACGCUGAGGCACGAAAGCGUGGGGAGCGAACAGGAUUAGAUACCCGAG
RNAcentral lists this ribosomal RNA (434 nucleotides) under uncultured Hymenobacter sp. RNAcentral's name for it is "bacterial SSU rRNA". It matches the Rfam family "Bacterial small subunit ribosomal RNA", at positions 358 to 790 of the family's 1533-position model. Lineage: Bacteria; Pseudomonadati; Bacteroidota; Cytophagia; Cytophagales; Hymenobacteraceae. The record is from RNAcentral.